Molecule: ribosomal RNA, 406 nt
Filed under: uncultured bacterium
Lineage: Bacteria
Description: partial 16S ribosomal RNA
Rfam family: Bacterial small subunit ribosomal RNA
Source: RNAcentral
AUUGAACGCUGGCGGCAUGCUUUACACAUGCAAGUCGGACGAGUGGCGGACGGGUGAGUAACGUAUGGGAACGUGCCGGGUGAUGGGGGAUAACUAAUGGAAAGAGUAGCUAAUACCGCAUAUUAUUCGAGCGGCCGAUACCUGAUUAGCUGGUUGGUGGGGUAAAGGCCUACCUAGGCGACGAUCCGUAGCGGGUCUGAGAGGAUGAUCCGCCACACUGGGACUGAGACACGGCCCAGACUCCUACGGGAGGCAGCAGUGGGGAAUUUUGGACAAUGGGCGCAAGCCUGAUCCAGCCAUGCCGCGUGUCUGAAGAAGGCCUUCGGGUUGUAAAGUACUUUUGGUAGGGAAGCGGUACCUGAAGAAUAAGCACCGGCUAACUCCGUGCCAGCAGCCGCGGUAAUAC